GCAGGACCACUUCCAGUUUCAUAGAAAGCUGUUGUACGAAAGAGAAAUCCUGCUGGAAGCUGAGCUCAUGGAGGAAGAAAGCAGACCAUUGGGAUGUGUCCUGUCACCACACACCUGUCCCAGUGACACACAUGGUGUGAGCCUGUCAGCCAAUGGAGGGAGCUGAACAGACAGAGAAGCACCUAGUGGCUGCCUAGGGACCAGGACUUCUCAGUGAGCAGCCGGUCUGAAUGGAGAGUUCAUUCAUGUCUAUCUCAUCACAUUCCGGCUUUCUGAAGACCCCAGAGCAUGCCACCAUCUGUCAUCAAGAAGCUGAGGCCAAGGAGUGUCCCCCACGCCACCCACCCCAGGUCCCCAGGAAAACACCUCCUUUGACCUCCGUUUCCCACUUGGGAGAGGUCCAAGCUCAUGCUGGAAUAGACAAGAGGUUUCCAGAAAGCAUUUUGGAGCGGGACUGUGAUUCCUCCCGAUAUCCUUUACAAGGCAGCCGUGGAAGACCGACAAAUCAGCAAGGACUGUGUGAGACCAGAGGAGGCCUACCUCCUCCUCUCCCACCCCAGCACACGGUGAGCUUCCCAACCCUGACAUCAUCAGAGUCUUUCUCCAAAGAUGGAUGCCUCUUACCAGCUGCAUGGGAAACUUGGAACUCAAGGUGCUUGCGUCCAUGGAGUCCCAGAUACAGGAAGAGACGACACAGAGCAGCAAAGUAACUUGGCCAAAGGCACACAGCCAGUGAAAGGUGGACCG
Long non-coding RNA from Mus musculus (house mouse), 747 nucleotides. RefSeq annotates it as predicted gene, 36165. The record is from RefSeq and is a predicted model, not a curated record. The transcript has 4 exons. Lineage: Eukaryota; Metazoa; Chordata; Mammalia; Rodentia; Muridae.